GGGCAAUUGUUAGGACAACUUUAUUUUAUUUCAAAGUAAAUAACAAUAAUUAUACACAAAUACAAUCUGCAGUCGGUUGUUGUUUUUUUUGUGCAAAAACUGUGAUUUUCCGCCUUGUUUGACAAGUGGAUGGCGGCAACAAGUACCUGAUACUACUAUCGGUGAUAUUAAAUAAGUUUAAUUGGGCCUCAGUGUCGCGUAC
RNAcentral lists this long non-coding RNA (202 nucleotides) under Mytilus galloprovincialis (Mediterranean mussel). Lineage: Eukaryota; Metazoa; Mollusca; Bivalvia; Mytilida; Mytilidae. The record is from RNAcentral.